GAUGAACGCUGGCGGCGUGCCUAAUACAUGCAAGUCGAGCGAACGGACGAGAAGCUUGCUUCUCUGAUGUUAGCGGCGGACGGGUGAGUAACACGUGGAUAACCUACCUAUAAGACUGGGAUAACUUCGGGAAACCGGAGCUAAUACCGGAUAAUAUUUUGAACCGCAUGGUUCAAAAGUGAAAGACGGUCUUGCUGUCACUUAUAGAUGGAUCCGCGCUGCAUUAGCUAGUUGGUAAGGUAACGGCUUACCAAGGCAACGAUGCAUAGCCGACCUGAGAGGGUGAUCGGCCACACUGGAACUGAGACACGGUCCCGGCUCCUACGGGAGGCAGCAGUAGGGAAUCUUCCGCAAUGGGCGAAAGCCUGACGGAUCAACGCCGCGUGAGUGAUGAAGGUCUUCGGAUCGUAAAACUCUGUUAUUAGGGAAGAACAUAUGUGUAAGUAACUGUGCACAUCUUGACGGUACCUAAUCAGAAAGCCACGGCUAACUACGUG
This 497-nucleotide ribosomal RNA is filed under the name uncultured bacterium. RNAcentral describes it as "partial 16S ribosomal RNA". It matches the Rfam family "Bacterial small subunit ribosomal RNA", at positions 28 to 507 of the family's 1533-position model. The record is from RNAcentral.